CAAUUGACUGCGCUUGCGACACCGGCUACGGUGGAGACAGAUGUGAACUGGCUCCAAAGUGCACAGAUUCGAUGAAGUGUGAAAACGGUGGGACCUGUAAAGCUGACACCUCUGGUCAGCAUAUCUGUUUCUGUGCUCCGGGCUUUGGAGGGACCUGUGUGCUGACGUUUCCUGUGACAACAACCCAUGCCAGAAUGAAGCAUCCUGUGAAGUUGAAGACGGCUCCA
Long non-coding RNA from Haliotis rubra (blacklip abalone), 227 nucleotides. RefSeq lists it as uncharacterized. The record is from RefSeq and is a predicted model, not a curated record. The transcript has 3 exons. NCBI's taxonomy places the organism in Eukaryota, Metazoa, Mollusca, Gastropoda, Lepetellida, Haliotidae.